GACGGAGGAUGCAAGCGUUAUCCGGAAUGAUUGGGCGUAAAGCGUCCGCAGGUGGCAGUUCAAGUCUGCUGUCAAAGACCGGGGCUUAACUUCGGAAAGGCAGUGGAAACUGAACAGCUAGAGUAUGGUAGGGGCAGAGGGAAUUCCAGGUGUAGCGGUGAAAUGCGUAGAUAAUCUGGAGGAAUACCGGUGGCGAAGGCGGCAUCCUGGACCGAGAUUGACACUGAUGAGCGAAAGCUAGGGGAGCAAACGGGAGUUAGAG
Molecule: ribosomal RNA, 262 nt
Filed under: uncultured bacterium
Lineage: Bacteria
Description: partial 16S ribosomal RNA
Rfam family: Bacterial small subunit ribosomal RNA
Source: RNAcentral